AUGCUCCUUUCUUUCUUCGCAUGGAAACCGGAAAUAGGCAGCAUCACGCAAAGCUCCGUAGUUCACUGCGGAAAGCAAACCAGUAGAAAAGCCGUUUACGCCUCUGUGUCUUCCCAAAAAGCCACAGACCCGGCAGAGGCACCACGUGCACCUUCGACUCUCGUUUCGCAUUCACCCAAGAACAGAAGCCAGAAAAACAGAUUCAGGAACAAGCUCACCUGGAUUUUAGUCGUGGCUUCCCUUCUGACUCCAUCCCAGUGGAGAAGCUUCUGCCAAAGACUUCCUGUCUCAGACACAGCCAGAAGAUGCGUGCAGCAUCCAUUGAGGAGACGACUGUGUGCUUCAUGA
RNAcentral lists this long non-coding RNA (348 nucleotides) under Salvator merianae (Argentine black and white tegu). RNAcentral's name for it is "lncRNA (ENSSMRG00000010833.1)". Lineage: Eukaryota; Metazoa; Chordata; Lepidosauria; Squamata; Teiidae. The record is from RNAcentral.